GAUGAAGAACGCAGCGAAAUGCGAUACUUGGUGUGAAUUGCAGAAUCCCGUGAACCAUCGAGUCUUUGAACGCAAGUUGCGCCCGAAGCCAUUAGGCCGAGGGCACGCCUGCCUGGGCGUCACACGUCGUUGCCCCCCCAUCUACUCCUUCGGGAUUGCGGGGGGCGGAUGAUGGCCUCCCGUGCGCCUCGCCGCGCGGUUGGCAUAAAUGCCAAGUCCUCGGCGACGCACGCCACGACAAUCGGUGGUUGCGAAACCUCGGUUGCCCGUCGUGUGCGGUCGUCGCGCAUCGAGGGCUCGAAAAAAUUGCCGGGUUCCGGCUCGGCUUUCAACGCGACCCCAGGUCAGGCGGGGCUACCCGCUGAAUUUAAGCAUAUCAAUAAGCGGAGGA
This 391-nucleotide unclassified non-coding RNA is filed under the name soil metagenome. Its description in RNAcentral is "partial contains 5.8S ribosomal RNA, internal transcribed spacer 2, and large subunit ribosomal RNA". The stretch from base 1 to 122 matches the Rfam family "5.8S ribosomal RNA", at positions 35 to 154 of the family's 154-position model. The record is from RNAcentral.